Molecule: ribosomal RNA, 512 nt
Filed under: uncultured microorganism
Description: bacterial SSU rRNA
Rfam family: Bacterial small subunit ribosomal RNA
Source: RNAcentral
GUAGUUUGAUCGUGGCUCAGAUUGAACGCUGGCGGCAGGCUUAACACAUGCAAGUCGAGCGGGGGAGAUUGCUUCGGUAAUUGACCUAGCGGCGGACGGGUGAGUAAUACUUAGGAAUCUGCCUAUUAAUGGGGGACAACAUCUCGAAAGGGAUGCUAAUACCGCAUACGCCCUACGGGGAAAGCAGGGGAUCACUUGUGACCUUGCGUUAAUAGAUGAGCCUAAGUCGGAUUAGCUAGUUGGUGGGUAAAGGCCUACCAAGGCGACGAUCUGUAGCGGGUCUGAGAGGAUGAUCCGCACACUGGGACUGAGACACGGCCCAGACUCCUACGGGAGGCAGCAGUGGGGAAUAUUGGACAAUGGGGGAACCCUGAUCCAGCCAUGCCGCGUGUGUGAAGAAGGCCUUAUGUUGUAAAGCACUUUAAGCGAGGAGGAGGCUCCUGUAGUUAAUACCUACAGAGAGUGGACGUUACUCGCAGAAUAAGCACCGGCUAACUCUGUGCCAGCAGCAG